GUGCUCACUUAAGCAGCACAUAUACUAACAUCUGAACAAUACAGAGAAGAUUAGCAUGACCCCUAUGCAAGGACGAUGCAAAAUUCAUAAAGCAUUCCAUAUUUUG
Molecule: small nuclear RNA, 106 nt
Organism: Saimiri boliviensis boliviensis (Bolivian squirrel monkey)
Lineage: Eukaryota; Metazoa; Chordata; Mammalia; Primates; Cebidae
Source: Ensembl